UACGUAGGGGGCUAGCGUUGUCCGGAUUUAUUGGGCGUAAAGAGCUCGUAGGCGGUUCGGUAAGUUGGAUGUGAAAUCUCCAGGCUCAACUUGGAGGGGUCAUCCGAUACUGCCGUGACUGGAGUUCGGUAGAGGAGUGUGGAAUUCCUGGUGGAGCGGUGAAAUGCGCAGAUAUCAGGAGGAACACCGGUGGCGAAGGCGGAUCUCUGGGCCUUACCUGACGCUCAGGUGCGAAAGCUAGGGGAGCGAACAGG
Molecule: ribosomal RNA, 254 nt
Filed under: uncultured bacterium
Lineage: Bacteria
Description: partial 16S ribosomal RNA
Rfam family: Bacterial small subunit ribosomal RNA
Source: RNAcentral